GAGGGAGGCAAGAGCAUGAAGGACUGCUAAUCCUCCACCCUGUAGUUAAAUCCCACAGACCCU
This 63-nucleotide transfer RNA is filed under the name Pseudemoia entrecasteauxii. Its description in RNAcentral is "partial tRNA-Ser". The record is from RNAcentral. Lineage: Eukaryota; Metazoa; Chordata; Lepidosauria; Squamata; Scincidae.